Molecule: long non-coding RNA, 1220 nt
Organism: Chelonia mydas (Green sea turtle)
Lineage: Eukaryota; Metazoa; Chordata; Testudines; Cheloniidae
Exons: 3
Source: RefSeq, a predicted model, not a curated record
CUGGAAUGGAGCUAAUUCCCAGAUGACCAGCAGGAGGCGCUGUGGCAGUGAGUGUGUAAUCUGCUCCACCCACCUACCCCCAAAGCAACGCUUUUGGCAGCUGAAAAACAAUUUUAUUAACACCCUGAAACUUUGGAGGAAAACUGUCCUGGGCUUGCUGAAAAUUUUCAUGGGAACAGAUCUGAUUUCCCAACCAGCUCCGGAGUUGAGCUCUUUUGAAAAAUCAGAUUUCAGGGGAAGGUGCUGGCCACUUGACGGUCUAGGCCUGCGUGACUUGGAAAUUGUAUUCCUCUCUGCCCUAGACUCCUGCCUGCAAAGUGGGGCUAAGAAGACAUCCCUGCCUCACUGGGGUAUUGUCAUACAUUAAUGUAACACUUGUCAGCGACUGUAGUGAUGGGAGCCAUAGCAAAGCUAAGACACAUAUUUAGAGCUAAGAUCAUAGAUUUUUCUUUGUCACAGAAACCACCCUAAGCGGAAGGACUAACACACUAUGGUUAAUUCUCUUAGUCACUCACUUCACUGAGGACAAGGCUCACCCACGCAUUUUUAAGGAUAUAUGAGGCCCCAUUUCCAGCAGUAUUUGCACCAGGUGCUUCUGUACAAAAAUGGAUUUGCUGCUGAGUCAUCCUGUUAUCAGAUGCUUGAAGUAUCAGCACUGAGUCAUAGCAGCUGGUGGAUUCUGUUCACUCCAGCCAGGCUAUUAAGCAGUCAGGGUGUCUCUCAAGACCAGAGGGAAUUAUGAUCUGGACCAUGCAUGAGAAAACUUUAGGAAGAGCUAAAUUGGGAGGAAGUUUAGGCUGAAGUUUCUGUUGCGCCGUUAUCAGAGUGACCAAGAGGCAGCCUUGUGUUUCCAUAUCCAGAGAUGGGAACGUGAAGCCCCAGUGAGUCCCCUCGUGGAGAGCAGCUGUCGGCACCGAGCAUGCUGGCUCCUAGAAGCCUGUGCGACAGCCCUGCCCUGCUGCUGGUGUCACGCUCUGUCCCUCCACACGGCCUAGCCUCAUGCGAUCUGAUGCCUGUGCCAGGCCUUCCUGUGAGUCAAGCUGGAAGGAAUGAAGGCUUGGGAGUCUUACAGUGAUAUCAUGUCACCUGAAUGGGAAUCCAUCCAUCUGGUGCUUUUCCAUUGAGGAGGGGUGGGAACCCAGAGAGACAAAGGAUUCCCGCCUUAUGCAAAAGAUAUAUAAGUGGGUGGAACAGAAAAAAGGAGGCAAGCAUCAUGAGAA